RNAcentral lists this ribosomal RNA (253 nucleotides) under uncultured bacterium. Its description in RNAcentral is "partial 16S ribosomal RNA". It matches the Rfam family "Bacterial small subunit ribosomal RNA", at positions 524 to 776 of the family's 1533-position model. The record is from RNAcentral.
UACAGAGGGUGCAAGCGUUGUUCGGAAUUAUUGGGCGUAAAGCGCGUGUAGGCGGCUUAGCAAGUCGGGCGUGAAAGCCCUCGGCUCAACCGAGGAAGUGCACCCGAAACUGCUGAGCUUGAGUGCCGGAGAGGAUGGCGGAAUUCCCCAAGUAGAGGUGAAAUUCGUAGAUAUGGGGAGGAACACCCGUGGCGAAGGCGGCUCUCUGGGACGGUACUGACGCUGAGACGCGAAAGCGUGGGGAGCGAACAGG